GCCACGCCCGGAACGGAUAACCGCUGAAGGCAUCUAAGCGGGAAGCCGUCUCCGAGAUGAGUUCUCCCUUCGGUAAGUCCCCAUGCAGAACACGUGGUAGAUAGGCCGCAGCUGCAAGCGCCGCGAGGCGUUCAGGCGAGCGGUACUAAUAGGACGAGCCCUUGCACCCAUCC
This 173-nucleotide ribosomal RNA is filed under the name Slackia isoflavoniconvertens. RNAcentral describes it as "partial 23S ribosomal RNA". It matches the Rfam family "Bacterial large subunit ribosomal RNA", at positions 2748 to 2925 of the family's 2925-position model. Lineage: Bacteria; Bacillati; Actinomycetota; Coriobacteriia; Eggerthellales; Eggerthellaceae. The record is from RNAcentral.